UGAAGACCCCUCCUAUGUGUGACGGCCACGUGAGCCGACCUCUCUCCCCUCGCAGGCCGCGUCCGCACUGGCUCGGGUGCCGGGGCUGGUGGCAGUGUGGCCGGCGGUCCCUGCGUCCCCGGCUGACGGCGCUGCGCGGCCUCCUCCCGCUGGUGAGGAGAGACGUGGGCGACCAGGUGGCCGCGAAGGCGCAGGCACUUUCUUCUGUGGCCUGUGAGUAACACAGCGGCUCUUCCUGCCUGCGGGGAACUUGCAGCCCUGGGUCACCUCCGCUGUCCAGCCAGAUAAAAAUGUUUCCUGGGGCAGUUGCAACCCACACAUGGCAGUACGAGUUGGUGUGGGAGAAGGAAACCAUGACUGUGUCUGACCCGGAUGGGGCCAUCCUGGGCCAUGAGGAGGUGGACCUAGGAAUGACAGACUGGGGAGCCCAAGAGGCCUGGGACCUUGAGGACUCUGCACAGCUGCCACACCAGCCCUAGACUGCCUAACUGGACCUUCACAUGAGACAGAAAUAAUCUCAUGUUUUGUGGCCUGCCACUCCUGAUGCUCUCGGCUUUCCUCCGCUCAGUUGCCCAAGCAUCAUUCGUCAGGGAUCAUCUCCCGCUCUUCCCAGAGCUACCAGAUGUCCACUAACCAAAAAGCAGAAAUAAUCCAGCUUUUCUUCAGUCUCCUUAUAAUGAAAACAUGGUGUAGUACCAAAGGGUUCAAGGUGCCACCUUCUUAAACGGCAUGAUCAUGAUAUAGACAGUUUUUAGAUAUCUACAUAAAUAUGACUAAAUAAAAAACUGCUAUGAGGAAAACAAGUAUAAUGCUAUGAAGUCAAUACUCCAAAAUAAAGUUUCCAUAGCCAAUCAA
Galeopterus variegatus (Sunda flying lemur) is the source of this 855-nucleotide long non-coding RNA. RefSeq lists it as uncharacterized. The record is from RefSeq and is a predicted model, not a curated record. The transcript has 4 exons. Lineage: Eukaryota; Metazoa; Chordata; Mammalia; Dermoptera; Cynocephalidae.